Molecule: long non-coding RNA, 1592 nt
Organism: Equus asinus (donkey)
Lineage: Eukaryota; Metazoa; Chordata; Mammalia; Perissodactyla; Equidae
Source: Ensembl
AUUUUAGCGGGGUCGAGAGCGAGGACAGCAAACGAGGCUGCGCUUCUCCCUGUCCACCAGGAGCACACGCAGCUGAGAGUCUUAAUUCACGUGGCUCGACAGGUGAUCCGGAGGAAUAUGUCGUGGUGUGUCUGUGUGUAUACAGGUGUGUGUGUAUCCACGCGCGUGUUCGUGCGUACGAGAGUGCCUGUGGUUGUGCGGGAAACAGCGUGUACCGGGCGGCCCGCGAAGAUUCUUCUCCCCAAGGCACCUUCCGGCUUUUCUCCGCGCCCCCUUCGCGGCUGCCGGGAGGGUAAUUAAACGGGACGCGCCGCAGCCGGCAAACAGAUGGCGUCUGCUUGCUCCGAGGCCGCCGGCAAACAGCGCAAAAGUCAAUGCCUCCCGGGUCCCCCGUCAGCGCCCCUGGCCCGGCUCCUACUCAGCGCCACCAAGCCAUGCCUCCAGCCCCCUGUGCACCCUCAGCCUCUGACUCCAGCCUCACUCCGGGUCUCCACCACGGCCAUCCCUUUGGACCCCACCUUCGCCUGGGCGAAAGCAUCGGGGAUGGGGCCAGCCGCGAACACUGGUGGGUGGACUUUCGUGCGUGGCUGGGAGCGCUCACCCGGGGCUCCCAGCCCCUUGCACAGCAGAGGCAUCAGCAAAUGAUUCUGAGCUAAGAGGACCUGCGUGAGUGAGUGUGUCGGUGUGUGAUUGUGAAGACGGGCUUUCUGUCCUCCGCUGCCUCAUUUGUACGGGAGGUCUGGCUUUCUCUGCCCAGAGUCCAGCCGCCUGCAGGGGCCAGACCUGGAGUAGGGUUAGGUCCGUGCAGGAGCGAAGGCACAUGUGCGUGAGCAUAUGCUAUUGGUGUUCCGUCUGUCACCCAGGUAGGAGUCUGGGUGUCUGGGUGAAAGGUCACACACCAACUGCAUGUUCCAGGAUGAGGAUAUGCUUGAGAGCGCUGUGAAGUUAAUCGAACUUUCUGAAGGGAUCCUCUUGGGUGGGAGGGUGGCCGGGUCAGAGGUGAGUGCACCCUGUGCGUGGUCAGUGCAUGCAGGUGUGAGGAUGUGUCCAAGACUUUUGCAGAAUGAGGUCACACAUACCAGUUGUGUGUCCAGGUAUGAUGCCACACUCUGGUGUAUGGGCGGCCCCUGCUGCCUCAGUCUGGGCAUGCUCCCUCACUCCUGGCCGCUCAGCCAGGCCACCCCCUUCCGGGCUGCUCCCCUCUGUGAGCUCAAUUCAAACCAGGACUAGCCCGGGAGUGGCCUGUGGAGGUGUGAGUGCACGCCUCCCUCCAUGACACAUUCACUCACAUGAGCACCUGGGGCAUCAGAAGAAAGGGUGUGGGUCUCGAACCUGUUGGGCUGUGAACAGGAGGGAGAAGGAUCCACCGAAGAGAGAGGCACCUGUCCUAAGGGUGGGCAGAUUCCCUCUGAUUGGGCUGGGUUCCAGGAUGUGCCGUCUUCCUCUCCUAAGAAAAUGAGGUCCCUUACUAGCAAGAGAGCUCGGGGUUCCCAAGUCCUGGUGGCUGGACCCUUGGCUCCCACAGGUUUACUGGACCGAAGUGAGGGACUCUCACAGUGGCCUGGCACGAAGAGGGGUCUCUGGCCCACCGC